Molecule: ribosomal RNA, 460 nt
Filed under: uncultured bacterium
Lineage: Bacteria
Description: partial 16S ribosomal RNA
Rfam family: Bacterial small subunit ribosomal RNA
Source: RNAcentral
CCUACGGGAGGCAGCAGUGAGGAAUAUUGGUCAAUGGACGCAAGUCUGAACCAGCCAUGCCGCGUGCAGGAAGACGGAUCUAUGGUUUGUAAACUUCUUUUAUACGGGGAUAAACGCAUAUACGCGUAUCUAUCUGAAUAUAUCGUACGAAUAAGCAUCGGCUAACUCCGUGCCAGCAGCCGCGGUAAUACGGAGGAUUCAAGCGUUAUCCGGAUUUAUUGGGUUUAAAGGGUGCGUAGGCUGUUGUGUAAGUCAGCGGUGAAAGUUUGUGGCUCAACCAUAAAAUUGCCGUUGAAACUGGAAGACUAGAGGGUGUUUGAGGUAGGCGGAAUGCGUGGUGUAGCGGUGAAAUGCAUAGAGAUCACGCAGAACUCCGAUUGCGAAGGCAGCUUACUAAGCCAUAACUGACACUGAAGCACGAAAGCGUGGGGAUCAAACAGGAUUAGAUACCCUGGUAGUC